Long non-coding RNA from Pollicipes pollicipes, 687 nucleotides. RefSeq lists it as uncharacterized. Lineage: Eukaryota; Metazoa; Arthropoda; Thecostraca; Pollicipedomorpha; Pollicipedidae. The transcript has 4 exons. The record is from RefSeq and is a predicted model, not a curated record.
GCCAAGCGCCGACGCAGCGCUGUCGGCGGCAGCCCUGACGACCCCGGCGCGCCGGCAGGGCCUGCCCGACCCGCGUGACUACGUGGCGCCCUUCUCCGCGUCUGAGGCGUCCCCGCCCCGAGCUGCGUUCGCCGAGCGCCAGGCGAUCGCCAGUCCGCGUCAGGACGACUACGGCCUGACCAUCCCGAAGAAGCAGGAGAAGCAGCGGCUCGAGUUUCAGGUGCACGGCCAGGAGGGGCCGCACAGCUACCGCUUCGGGUACGACACCGGCACCGGGUACAACCGCCAGUUCCGGUUUGAGGAGAGAGACGGGUACGGAAAUCUGAAGGGGCGAUACGGCUUCUACGAUAAGUCUGGCAAGCUGCAAGUUGUGAACUAUUCUGCUUCCCCGAAGGGAGGAUUUCAUGCGGAGGGCAAUUUCGGAAAGUUUCCUGAAGCCGGUCAUUAGAUAAGCUUUCUACAGAAACACCCGCGAACACGAGGCAUCGUUUGGCCAAGGCGCUCAGUGCUGUGUGCCUGUGUGCCGCGCAGCCCCGGCUCGCCAGCGGCAGCCGUCAGUCGGCGGCGGCGCCGGAGCUCGGCCGUCACGCCCGCUCCGCUCGCCUGGACUAGACGGCCGCCCGGUCCACGAGCGCCAGCUGCGCACGUGACAUACUUCGGACGGCGCCGUACCCGACACCACCUCAG